GUGAACCCCGGUGAAACCCAGUGG
Molecule: non-coding RNA, 24 nt
Filed under: Mus musculus (house mouse)
Lineage: Eukaryota; Metazoa; Chordata; Mammalia; Rodentia; Muridae
Source: RNAcentral